UACGGAGGAUGCGAGCGUUAUCCGGAUUUAUUGGGUUUAAAGGGUGCGUAGGCGGCUUCUUAAGUCAGCGGUGAAAUUUUGCAGCUUAACUGUAACAGUGCCGUUGAUACUGGGGAGCUAGGAUUUGGUUGCUGUGGGUGGAAUGUGUGGUGUAGCGGUGAAAUGCUUAGAGAUCACACAGAAUAUCGAUUGCGAAGGCAGCUCACAAAGCCAAGAUUGACGCUGAGGCACGAAAGUGUGGGGAGCGAACAGGA
Molecule: ribosomal RNA, 254 nt
Filed under: uncultured prokaryote
Description: partial 16S ribosomal RNA
Rfam family: Bacterial small subunit ribosomal RNA
Source: RNAcentral